GGGGGUGUAAAGAGUGGAAGAAACUAAGGUGGGAUUGUGAAUGCGGUCAAUGCCAGUCCACCGGCCAUUGUAGACCAGUACUCGGGAGGGGGGUGAGGGUGAAGAGGGCCUGAUGUGAGUCUGGGUUCUGGACCGUGGAGGUGUUAGUGACCGGAGUGAGAUGGGAUCGUGCCAGCUGAAGGAUUUAUCGCCCACCUAUAAUUUCCCAGAGGGCAGUUAAGAGUCAACCACAUUGCUGUGGGUCUGGAGUCACACAUAGGCCAGACCAGAAUCCUGUAAUCACUGGAUCAGAGAUCAAAGGGGUAGCGGGGCCCCAGGUCUCACACAAUUCGGGAGAGCGAGAGAAGGAAAACAGAAAUCAAGGGACGAGAGGGUGCUGCGGGGAGGGGAGACAGAGCAGUAAACGGAGACAAAUUAAAGAGAGAGAGAGAGAGAGAGGGUUGAGAGUCUGGUGUAAAUACUCCCUCUCUGGGACACAAGUCUUUACUUCCAACUAGUCCGCAAUAAGGAAUUGGACACAGGAUGAGGCCAUUCAGUCUGACAUGCCUGUACUUAACACGUUGAAACAUCAGCUCGUUGGUUGGCACUUUCACAUCUAGUGCCAAGAUUCCCUAAACCCAGUGAGUUGACACCAUGCCAGCUGAGCCAUUGGACUACAGCAUGUGAAGUGACAUAAAAUAAACACAAGUAACGCCUUAAGAUAUUCCAUGGGCAUCAGUAUUCAUCCUUAAGAUUCUCCCGAACUUAACGUUAAACCUUAGUGCGUGUAAAAUCCAUUAAACUCUGUAUUUUAAACAGCACA
Molecule: long non-coding RNA, 802 nt
Organism: Rhincodon typus (whale shark)
Lineage: Eukaryota; Metazoa; Chordata; Chondrichthyes; Orectolobiformes; Rhincodontidae
Exons: 3
Source: RefSeq, a predicted model, not a curated record